GUCUAUGACCGCAUCACCCUGAACGUGACUGGUCUUAUCUGAUCUCCUAAGCUAAGCAGGGUCAGGCCUGCUUAGUACCUGGUUGGGAAAAUGUUUACAGAGGAGUUGAAAUCU
RNAcentral lists this ribosomal RNA (114 nucleotides) under Octodon degus (degu). The record is from RNAcentral. Lineage: Eukaryota; Metazoa; Chordata; Mammalia; Rodentia; Octodontidae.